RNAcentral lists this long non-coding RNA (1947 nucleotides) under Sus scrofa (pig). RNAcentral describes it as "lncRNA (ENSSSCG00025073153.1)". Lineage: Eukaryota; Metazoa; Chordata; Mammalia; Artiodactyla; Suidae. The record is from RNAcentral.
GUUUUAGCAUAAGUUUGUUCCUAUCUCCACCUCUGCCAGUAUCCAUCCAUCCAUCCACCCUGUCUUCUUCUAGUGGAUUUCCAAGUAAUUUGCAGAGAGAAAUACACUCCAUCUCUCAUAGUUUCGCCUGCGUAUCAUUAACUAGAGUGUAGGAUUUAUUUACCCCUCUUUUGGGCUAACACUUAGACACAGGGAUGUUUCUAAGCCCUAAGUGUACUUUCAGUGGGUUCCUAUAUAUGUCUCUAGGGCCCCAAUUCCAUCAAGAUAGAGGACAUAUCCAGGAAGUUUCCUCAUGCCCGCCUUUCAGGAAAUCCUCAGCCCAGCCCACCCCUGCACAACCACUCUUCUGAUUUCAUCACCGUAGAUUAGCUUGGGCUUGUUCUGGAACUUUCCAUACACUCUGUGCUCUUUGACAUAAGCCUCCUUCAGCGAGCGGCAUGCUAUUUUUGAGAUUCACUCAUGUUUUUCUGUGUAAAUACAUCCUUGACUGUACAGACACACACAUACACACACUCACCCACCCAUGUAGGCAGACAUCUAUACACAUAACAUACACAUAAGACAAACUUUUCACGUAAAUGUUGGUAGGUUGGGUGUAUUUCUCUCCAGGAAGUGCCUUAUAGAUUUUGGUCCCUUUUCUUAGCUACAUCCUUUAGGUCAGCUUUCAAAGAGAUCUUUGUGAUGUCUGGCAGAUUAUUAAGAGCUUUGGUUGGCCAGGGAAGGUUAGUUUUGGAAAGGUCCCCUCCCACAUCCCUCCAGAGUGGAACCAUGAGCUGGACUCCGCAACCUUGAGGUGGUGCGAAGGGAAGGAGAGGGCAGGGGAAGGGAGAAGAGAGCCAUGCGGGUACCAAAAACUGUCUGAUUUAUGGCGUCAACAGCCACACGUGUUCUGCAGUGGAAGUUGCUUCCAGGGGCCCGUGUGACGUUCUUCCCCUUUGGAGCUGGACACACUCCUUGUCACAAAUAGCAUCAGAGAGAGACAGGCAUUCUUUUUUUUUUUUUCUUCUUCUUCGGUUUUUAAAGUUUUAUCAACGUCCAGUUGAUGUACAGUGUGGUGAUCAUUCUCUCUGCUGUGCCGCAAAGUGAUUUGGUUCUACGUGUCCCCACAUUCAUUUUUGUUCAGAUUCUUUUCCUGCAGAAUACUGGGUCGAGUCCCCUGGGCUCUACAGCAGGUGCCCGUUGGCCAAUCAUCCCGUAUACGAUGGUGUGCAUGUGACAAUCCCCACCCCCCCAGUGCACCCCUCACCACCUGUCCCCUUUGGUAACCAUGAGUUUUUCAAAGUCUGGGAGUCUGCUUCUGUUCUGCAAAUAAGUUCGUUUGUAUCCUUUUUAAAGAUGCCACUUGAAGAAAGGCGAUCUUGUCAAGGUGCCCUGGGAACUAGAUGUUCGGGUGGGGAAGGGGACCAGCCUCGCGCUAAAAUGGGAACUGUGUGUGUGUGUGUGUGUGUGUGUGUGUGUGUGUGUGUGUGUGUGUUGGGGUCUUUGGAAAGGGUAAGAGCCUCGUUUUCCCAGACCAGCUCAGUCCCAGCAGAAUCCUUUAUUGGCACCAAUCUUCAUUUUUUUUUUUCUUGCUUUUUAGGGCCGCCCCCACAGCAUAUGGAUGUUCCCAGACUAGGGGUGGAAUCGGAACUACAGCUGUCAGCCUACACCACAGCCACAGCAGCGCAGGAUCCAAGCCACGUCUGUGACCUAUACCAUAGCUCACAGCAAUGCUGGAUCCUUAACCCACUAAGAACCAUGAGGUUGCGGGUUCGAUCCCUGGUCUCGCUCAGUGGGUUAAGGAUCCGGUAUUGCCGUGAGCUGUGGUGUUGAUCACAGAUGUGGCCUGGAUCCGGUGUUGCUGUGGCUGUCGCAUAGGCCGGUGGCUGCAACUCCAAUUGGACCCCGAACCUGGGAACCUCCAUAUGCCAUGGGUGCAGCCCUAGAAAAAAAGCCAAAAAAAAAAAA